RNAcentral lists this ribosomal RNA (324 nucleotides) under uncultured eukaryote. Its description in RNAcentral is "partial 18S ribosomal RNA". It matches the Rfam family "Eukaryotic small subunit ribosomal RNA", at positions 1470 to 1796 of the family's 1831-position model. The record is from RNAcentral.
CCCUUAGAUGUUCUGGGCUGCACGCGCGCCACACUGAAGCGUUCAACGAGUAUUCACCUUGCCCGGGAGGGUUGGGUAAUCUUUUGAAAACGCUUCGUGAUGGGGAUAGAUUAUUGCAAUUAUUAAUCUUCAACGAGGAAUUCCUAGUAAGCGCGAGUCAUCAGCUCGUGCUGAUUACGUCCCUGCCCUUUGUACACACCGCCCGUCGCUCCUACCGAUUGAAUGCUCAGGUGAGCCAUUCGGACUUUCAUCAUGCUGGUUUCCAGUUUUGAUGAAGGAAAGUCUUGCGAACCUUAUCAUUUAGAGGAAGGAGAAGUCGUAACA